This 481-nucleotide ribosomal RNA is filed under the name uncultured bacterium. RNAcentral describes it as "partial 16S ribosomal RNA". It matches the Rfam family "Bacterial small subunit ribosomal RNA", at positions 28 to 507 of the family's 1533-position model. The record is from RNAcentral.
GAUGAACGCUGGCGGCGUGCUUAACACAUGCAAGUCGAACGAAACACCUUAUUUGAUUUUCUUCGGAACUGAAGAUUUGGUGAUUGAGUGGCGGACGGGUGAGUAACGCGUGGGUAACCUGCCCUGUACAGGGGGAUAACAGUCAGAAAUGACUGCUAAUACCGCAUAAGACCACAGCACCGCAUGGUGCAGGGGUAAAAACUCCGGUGGUACAGGAUGGACCCGCGUCUGAUUAGCUGGUUGGUGAGGUAACGGCUCACCAAGGCGACGAUCAGUAGCCGGCUUGAGAGAGUGAACGGCCACAUUGGGACUGAGACACGGCCCAAACUCCUACGGGAGGCAGCAGUGGGGAAUAUUGCACAAUGGGGGAAACCCUGAUGCAGCGACGCCGCGUGAGUGAAGAAGUAUUUCGGGAUGUAAAGCUCUAUCAGCAGGGAAGAAAAUGACGGUACCUGACUAAGAAGCCCCGGCUAACUACGUG